Molecule: ribosomal RNA, 2900 nt
Filed under: Klebsiella pneumoniae
Lineage: Bacteria; Pseudomonadati; Pseudomonadota; Gammaproteobacteria; Enterobacterales; Enterobacteriaceae
Description: 23S ribosomal RNA
Rfam family: Bacterial large subunit ribosomal RNA
Source: RNAcentral
UUAAGCGACUAAGCGUACACGGUGGAUGCCCUGGCAGUCAGAGGCGAUGAAGGACGUGCUAAUCUGCGAAAAGCGUCGGUAAGGUGAUAUGAACCGUUAUAACCGGCGAUGUCCGAAUGGGGAAACCCAGUGCAAUUCGUUGCACUAUCGUUAACUGAAUACAUAGGUUAACGAGGCGAACCGGGGGAACUGAAACAUCUAAGUACCCCGAGGAAAAGAAAUCAACCGAGAUUCCCCCAGUAGCGGCGAGCGAACGGGGAGCAGCCCAGAGUCUGAAUCAGCUUGUGUGUUAGUGGAACGGUCUGGAAAGUCCGACGGUACAGGGUGAUAGUCCCGUACACCAAAAUGCACAGGCUGUGAACUCGAAGAGUAGGGCGGGACACGUGGUAUCCUGUCUGAAUAUGGGGGGACCAUCCUCCAAGGCUAAAUACUCCUGACUGACCGAUAGUGAACCAGUACCGUGAGGGAAAGGCGAAAAGAACCCCGGCGAGGGGAGUGAAAAAGAACCUGAAACCGUGUACGUACAAGCAGUGGGAGCACCUUCGGGUGUGACUGCGUACCUUUUGUAUAAUGGGUCAGCGACUUAUAUUCUGUAGCAAGGUUAACCAUAUAGGGGAGCCGCAGGGAAACCGAGUCUUAACUGGGCGUUAAGUUGCAGGGUAUAGACCCGAAACCCGGUGAUCUAGCCAUGGGCAGGUUGAAGGUUGGGUAACACUAACUGGAGGACCGAACCGACUAAUGUUGAAAAAUUAGCGGAUGACUUGUGGCUGGGGGUGAAAGGCCAAUCAAACCGGGAGAUAGCUGGUUCUCCCCGAAAGCUAUUUAGGUAGCGCCUCGUGAACUCAUCUUCGGGGGUAGAGCACUGUUUCGGCUAGGGGGUCAUCCCGACUUACCAACCCGAUGCAAACUACGAAUACCGAAGAAUGUUAUCACGGGAGACACACGGCGGGUGCUAACGUCCGUCGUGAAGAGGGAAACAACCCAGACCGCCAGCUAAGGUCCCAAAGUCAUGGUUAAGUGGGAAACGAUGUGGGAAGGCACAGACAGCCAGGAUGUUGGCUUAGAAGCAGCCAUCAUUUAAAGAAAGCGUAAUAGCUCACUGGUCGAGUCGGCCUGCGCGGAAGAUGUAACGGGGCUAAACCAUGCACCGAAGCUGCGGCAGCGACACUAUGUGUUGUUGGGUAGGGGAGCGUUCUGUAAGCCUGCGAAGGUGUGCUGUGAGGCAUGCUGGAGGUAUCAGAAGUGCGAAUGCUGACAUAAGUAACGAUAAAGCGGGUGAAAAGCCCGCUCGCCGGAAGACCAAGGGUUCCUGUCCAACGUUAAUCGGGGCAGGGUGAGUCGACCCCUAAGGCGAGGCCGAAAGGCGUAGUCGAUGGGAAACAGGUUAAUAUUCCUGUACUUGGUGUUACUGCGAAGGGGGGACGGAGAAGGCUAUGUUAGCCGGGCGACGGUUGUCCCGGUUUAAGCAUGUAGGCUGGUUAUCCAGGCAAAUCCGGAUAAUCAAGGCUGAGGUGUGAUGACGAGGCACUACGGUGCUGAAGUAACAAAUGCCCUGCUUCCAGGAAAAGCCUCUAAGCAUCAGGUAACAUCAAAUCGUACCCCAAACCGACACAGGUGGUCAGGUAGAGAAUACCAAGGCGCUUGAGAGAACUCGGGUGAAGGAACUAGGCAAAAUGGUGCCGUAACUUCGGGAGAAGGCACGCUGGUGUGUAGGUGAAGUCCCUGCGGAUGGAGCUGAGACCAGUCGAAGAUACCAGCUGGCUGCAACUGUUUAUUAAAAACACAGCACUGUGCAAACACGAAAGUGGACGUAUACGGUGUGACGCCUGCCCGGUGCCGGAAGGUUAAUUGAUGGGGUUAUCCGUAAGGAGAAGCUCUUGAUCGAAGCCCCGGUAAACGGCGGCCGUAACUAUAACGGUCCUAAGGUAGCGAAAUUCCUUGUCGGGUAAGUUCCGACCUGCACGAAUGGCGUAAUGAUGGCCAGGCUGUCUCCACCCGAGACUCAGUGAAAUUGAACUCGCUGUGAAGAUGCAGUGUACCCGCGGCAAGACGGAAAGACCCCGUGAACCUUUACUAUAGCUUGACACUGAACAUUGAGCCUUGAUGUGUAGGAUAGGUGGGAGGCUUUGAAGCGUGGACGCCAGUCUGCGUGGAGCCAACCUUGAAAUACCACCCUUUAAUGUUUGAUGUUCUAACGUUGGCCCCUGACCGGGGUUGCGGACAGUGUCUGGUGGGUAGUUUGACUGGGGCGGUCUCCUCCCAAAGCGUAACGGAGGAGCACGAAGGUUAGCUAAUCCUGGUCGGACAUCAGGAGGUUAGUGCAAUGGCAUAAGCUAGCUUGACUGCGAGCGUGACGGCGCGAGCAGGUGCGAAAGCAGGUCAUAGUGAUCCGGUGGUUCUGAAUGGAAGGGCCAUCGCUCAACGGAUAAAAGGUACUCCGGGGAUAACAGGCUGAUACCGCCCAAGAGUUCAUAUCGACGGCGGUGUUUGGCACCUCGAUGUCGGCUCAUCACAUCCUGGGGCUGAAGUAGGUCCCAAGGGUAUGGCUGUUCGCCAUUUAAAGUGGUACGCGAGCUGGGUUUAGAACGUCGUGAGACAGUUCGGUCCCUAUCUGCCGUGGGCGCUGGAGAAUUGAGGGGGGCUGCUCCUAGUACGAGAGGACCGGAGUGGACGCAUCACUGGUGUUCGGGUUGUCAUGCCAAUGGCACUGCCCGGUAGCUAAAUGCGGAAGAGAUAAGUGCUGAAAGCAUCUAAGCACGAAACUUGCCCCGAGAUGAGUUCUCCCUGAGACUUUAAGUCUCCUGAAGGAACGUUGAAGACGACGACGUUGAUAGGCCGGGUGUGUAAGCGCAGCGAUGCGUUGAGCUAACCGGUACUAAUGAACCGUGAGGCUUAACCUU